CGGUGUCGUGCUGAGCAUUUAUAGAGAAGCAGGCGACAGCAGAAAGUCUCUCUUCAUCUCUACCUCCACCUCCAACCGGCCCGUUUCAGCUCCUCAACUGCAAGCAGGAGAGCUACACACCUUGGAUACGAGUUAACCUGUGUUGUAGUUGGUGAUUUGCUUCAAGGAAAAUGCAUCCUCCUUUGGCAUUGCAUAUGCAUCCAAUGUGUGCUGAAGUGAGUUUCCCUUUAUGCCUUUCUUUUCUUGUUAUUGUUCAAUUGUCCCUAGGAUUUGUGAUGCUAAUGGGAAAACUCAGUUUUUUCUCUUGCAUUUAAUCUUGGAUGGAUCACUCAUAACUUUACGUAUUUGUUGGAGUGGGGUCAGUGGUAGGAGAGAGGGGCAUAAUGUUUGUUGGAUUAAAGGGCCAACUGUGAUGCUGUGAGUAACUUUAUGGGAAGGGUAAAGUUCAUAAUUUUAACUGGUAACUUAAUUUAUAAGGAGAAAAAUCAACAUUUCCUAUUGCUGGUGAUCCGCACCUUUUGCCCUCUGCCUCUUCUGCUGUAGGGUGGGUGGAGAUUUGGCUUUGUUUCCAAUCUCUUGCACAGAGGUUUAAGAUAGUGCCUCAUCUAUGACAAAUGAACAGAGAUCUUUUUAUUGCAUCUGGUUGUAGCUUGUAGGUCAGAGAUCAAAGGCCACUGUAAAACUUUAUACACAAAACAUUCAAACUUCAUCUUUAAAUUGUGUUUCUUAUGGUAUUUGGUCCUGAAUAAAGCAGAAUCGGAAUUAUGAUUCGUUAACAGAAGUAUGUGUAGCAUAUUACGGAGACUGUAAUUGUGAUGCUUUAUCAAGGGAAGUGAAACCAAUGCAACUCCUGUGCCAUUUUUGCCUACUAUAUUGUACAGGGUUUUGGUGAUAAUCUUCUGCUGUUUAAAGCUUUCAUUUUGCUUAAUCAAGCAACAAAAAUGUUUUGCAGAUUAUUGAACAAUUCCAACAGUGUCAUUUGGACCAUCCCAUUGGAAAAUUCUUUGGCAAAUGUACAGACCUCAAAAUAAAGCUUGAUCGAUGUUUUCAGGAGGAAGUGAGUAAUUAUUAUGUUUGUCUCUUGUUCAUCUAGUUAAAAUAUAGACCUUGACUUUGCAUUAAAAUUUUGAAGUCGUCCCAGUCCUGCAUAAAGCUGUGAAGCGGAAGGCAAAUUUUGAACAAAGUAACAAACUUAAAGGAAGGCUUCAGACAUUAAGGAAGGAAGCUGCUGAGAGAAGCCCCGAGGACUAAAGAGAAGAAUUUUAUGUGAGCUUAACAAACAAAGUGGGAGGUGUUGUCUGAAACUCUCCUAGAUUCUGAAUUUAGAUUCUAUACAACUUUAUGUUGUGGCUUAGUGAACAUAGAAUGGCCUUUGAGGGAUGAUCUGGAUUGCAGUUCAUUGCAUAUUGUGCUAUGAUAUAGUGUCUGUCAUUUUUUCUUGGGAGGGAAAAAUAAUUUGAUUCCCUGUAGAAAGCUUGUAAAAGAUCAUGAACUUUAGAUUAAUCUGUUUGUACAAUUGCCAGGAGACAUUAAUUGUGUCAUUUCAGGUUAUUAAUUGAGUUAUAAAUUUCAUUUGCUAUGGUUCAAAAAA
Molecule: unclassified non-coding RNA, 1591 nt
Filed under: Hevea brasiliensis (rubber tree)
Lineage: Eukaryota; Viridiplantae; Streptophyta; Magnoliopsida; Malpighiales; Euphorbiaceae
Source: RNAcentral